RNAcentral lists this ribosomal RNA (252 nucleotides) under uncultured bacterium. Its description in RNAcentral is "partial 16S ribosomal RNA". It matches the Rfam family "Bacterial small subunit ribosomal RNA", at positions 524 to 776 of the family's 1533-position model. The record is from RNAcentral.
UACGUAGGGGGCAAGCGUUGUCCGGAAUUAUUGGGCGUAAAGCGCGCGCAGGCGGCCUUGUAAGUCUGUCGUUUAAACUCGGAGCUCAACUUCGAGUCGCGAUGGAAACUGCAAAGCUUGAGUGCAGAAGAGGAAAGUGGAAUUCCACGUGUAGCGGUGAAAUGCGUAGAGAUGUGGAGGAACACCAGUGGCGAAGGCGACUUUCUGGGCUGUAACUGACGCUGAGGCGCGAAAGCGUGGGGAGCAAACGGG